GUGCCAGCAGCCGCGGUAAUACGGAGGGUGCGAGCGUUAUCCGGAAUUACUGGGUUUAAAGGGUGCGUAGGCGGCCAUGUAAGUCAGGAGUGAAAGUUUGCGGCUCAACCGUAAAAUUGCUUUUGAUACUGCAUGGCUGGAAUCAGGAUGAGGUCAGCGGAAUGUGGCAUGUAGCGGUGAAAUGCAUAGAUAUGCCAUAGAACACCAAUUGCGAAGGCAGCUGGCUAGACCUGUAUUGACGCUGAGGCACGAAAGCGUGGGGAGCGAACAGGAUUAGAUACCCUGGUAGUCC
RNAcentral lists this ribosomal RNA (292 nucleotides) under uncultured bacterium. RNAcentral's name for it is "partial 16S ribosomal RNA". It matches the Rfam family "Bacterial small subunit ribosomal RNA", at positions 505 to 796 of the family's 1533-position model. The record is from RNAcentral.